RNAcentral lists this non-coding RNA (21 nucleotides) under Caenorhabditis elegans. Lineage: Eukaryota; Metazoa; Nematoda; Chromadorea; Rhabditida; Rhabditidae. The record is from RNAcentral.
UCUCAAAAAACGGGGAUCUUU